RNAcentral lists this ribosomal RNA (380 nucleotides) under uncultured archaeon. RNAcentral's name for it is "bacterial SSU rRNA". It matches the Rfam family "Archaeal small subunit ribosomal RNA", at positions 471 to 851 of the family's 1478-position model. The record is from RNAcentral.
UAAUACCAGCUCCUCGAGUGGUAGGGACGAUUAUUGGGCUUAAAGCGUCCGUAGCCGGCCUGGCAAGUCUUUCGUUAAAUCCAGCGACCUAAUCGCUGGGCCGCGGGAGAUACUGUCAGGCUAGGGGGCGGAAGAGGCCGACGGUAUUCCCGGGGUAGGAGUGAAAUCUUAUAAUCCCGGGAGGACCACCAGUGGCGAAGGCGGUCGGCUAGUACGCGCUCGACGGUGAGGGACGAAAGCUGGGGGAGCGAGCCGGAUUAGAUACCCGGGUAGUCCCAGCCGUAAACGAUGCGGGCUAGGUGUUGAGGCGGCUACGAGCCGCUUCGGUGCCGCAGGGAAGCCAUUAAGCCCGCCGCCUGGGAAGUACGGUCGCAAGGCUG